RNAcentral lists this ribosomal RNA (252 nucleotides) under uncultured bacterium. RNAcentral's name for it is "partial 16S ribosomal RNA". It matches the Rfam family "Bacterial small subunit ribosomal RNA", at positions 524 to 776 of the family's 1533-position model. The record is from RNAcentral.
UACAGAGGUCCCAAGCGUUGUUCGGAAUUACUGGGCGUAAAGGGCUUGUAGGUGGCCAACUAAGUCAGACGUGAAAUCCCUCGGCUUAACCGGGGAACUGCGUCUGAUACUGGAUGGCUUGAGUGUGGAGAGGGGGUGGAAUUCCGCGUGUAGCAGUGAAAUGCGUAGAGAUGCGGAGGAACACCGAUGGCGAAGGCAGCCCCCUGGGCUAACACUGACGCUGGAGGAGCGAAAGCAUGGGGAGCGAACAGG